RNAcentral lists this ribosomal RNA (496 nucleotides) under uncultured bacterium. Its description in RNAcentral is "partial 16S ribosomal RNA". It matches the Rfam family "Bacterial small subunit ribosomal RNA", at positions 28 to 506 of the family's 1533-position model. The record is from RNAcentral.
GAUGAACGCUGGCGGCGUGCCUAAUACAUGCAAGUCGAGCGAACAGACGAGGAGCUUGCUCCUCUGACGUUAGCGGCGGACGGGUGAGUAACACGUGGAUAACCUACCUAUAAGACUGGGAUAACUUCGGGAAACCGGAGCUAAUACCGGAUAAUAUAUUGAACCGCAUGGUUCAAUAGUGAAAGACGGUUUUGCUGUCACUUAUAGAUGGAUCCGCGCCGCAUUAGCUAGUUGGUAAGGUAACGGCUUACCAAGGCGACGAUGCGUAGCCGACCUGAGAGGGCGAUCGGCCACACUGGAACUGAGACACGGUCCAGACUCCUACGGGAGGCAGCAGUAGGGAAUCUUCCGCAAUGGGCGAAAGCCUGACGGAGCAACGCCGCGUGAGUGAUGAAGGUCUUCGGAUCGUAAAACUCUGUUAUUAGGGAAGAACAAAUGUGUAAGUAACUAUGCACGUCUUGACGGUACCUAAUCAGAAAGCCACGGCUAACUACGU